Molecule: ribosomal RNA, 468 nt
Filed under: uncultured bacterium
Lineage: Bacteria
Description: partial 16S ribosomal RNA
Rfam family: Bacterial small subunit ribosomal RNA
Source: RNAcentral
GACGAACGCUGGCGGCGUGCUUAACACAUGCAAGUCGAACGGAAAGGCCCUGCUUUUGUGGGGUGCUCGAGUGGCGAACGGGUGAGUAACACGUUAGUAACCUGCCCUUGACUUUGGGAUAACUUCAGGAAACUGGGGCUAAUACCGGAUAGGAGCUCCUGCUGCAUGGUGGGGGUUGGAAAGUUUCGGCGGUUGGGGAUGGACUCGCGGCUUAUCAGCUUGUUGGUGGAGUAGUGGCUUACCAAGGCUUUGACGGGUAGCCGGCCUGAGAGGGUGACCGGGAAAAUGGGGAGAGAGAUACGGCCGGGAGUCGUAAGGGAGACAGCAGUGGGGAAUAUUGCACAAUGGGCGGAAGCCGGAUGCAGCAAGGCCGCGUGCUGGAUGAUGGCCUUCGGGUUGUAAAGGGGUUUAGCCGGUGACGAAGCGUGAGUGACGGUAAUGUGUAAAGAAGCACCGGCUAACUACGUG